This is a non-coding RNA of Arachis ipaensis, 1881 nucleotides long. The record is from RefSeq and is a predicted model, not a curated record. NCBI's taxonomy places the organism in Eukaryota, Viridiplantae, Streptophyta, Magnoliopsida, Fabales, Fabaceae.
GGUUGAGAUUGUGAUUUGGAAUUGUUGAUUAGUGAUAUUGAUUGAUUAUGUGGAUUGGGAAUUGUUUGAUGACUAAUUGUUGAGAAUUUCUGAAUUUUAAUUGGUUAUGUUGGAUUUGUUGCCGUUGAGCUGUUAUUUGUAUAUUGUAAUGUUAAUGAACUUGGUUGGUGGUUGAUUUGGAAUUGGUUUUGAGGGGUAUUGAAGGGUUGGAUUUUGAAUACUAAAUGGUUUGCUGAAAAUCAGGUUCUCUUGAAAUAAAACGGCAACUUUGAAAGUGAUUUAGUAACUCUAUAGUGACUGAAAUUAUAAGAAUUUAAAUGUUAAGUAAAUUAUAUUAAGUGUAAUUGUGAAAAUUCAAUUUUUAAGGUUUCGUAUCAACUAGAGAAUUAGUUAUGAUUUUUCAAAGUUGAACUCUAAAAUCUGAUUUUCUGCAUAAUUUUAAACGAAGUCAGAAACUUUGAAAAGCUAUAACUACUUACGUAAUGAUUAGAAUUGCAUGAGACCAAACUUGAGUUAAACUUGGGAAUAUAAGGAACUAAACUGAUAAAUUUGAGACUUUUUCAUUAAGUUUAUGAUUUAUGGUGAAUUUUUGAAUUGGGGAUGUCAAAUCUGAUUUUUCUGCAGAACGUUUAACACAACAGCAACUUGAUUCCUUUAUUGGAAAUUCUGAAGUUUGAAUUUUGAAAUGGAACCAAUUUUAAAUGAAACUUUGGUCCUAAUACUUUAAUUUCAUAAAAAUUUAGAAUGGUUAGAGUUGUGGUUUUAAAGAUUUGGAUUUUCAGAGAAAGAUGUAUUAUGCAGUAAAAGUCAGGCUUUGUUUUCUAAGUCAGUAACUUUGAGGCUUCAUAAUUUUUAAUUCUGGAAUGAUAUAGAGAUGAAACCAAUUGGAGGUAAAAGUUGAGUAUGUUUAGUAUAUAUUAUUCAAAUUUCAGGGUUUUCCAUUUUUUAGUAAGUGAGUUAUGGGACUUGGAAGAGGUUAUGUUCAAUGAUUUGUAAAAUAGACUUCAGCAGAAAAUUACCUAACUUCCAAGCUACAUAACUCCUUCAUUAAAAAUGGUAUGACCCUGGAACCAAUUGAGAAAGAAAUUUGAAUAAGUUAUGUUUAAUUACAUAAAUUUUGAAGGUGGUUGGAUUUAAUUUGGAUUUUAUAUGAAAUUUCGAAUGUUGUACGCUGCUGCUGUCUUCUGGAUUUAAAACACUGCAGAGCAGUCACGGUUUUGCUUAUAUUCCCGAAGCUAGAGUCAGCGAAAAAUUCUGAACUGCUUUGAAUAAAUGUGAUUGCUUACUUGCCUGUGGCUAGUUCUGAAUAUUUAUUUGAUAUUGAAGUAGUGAAUGAAGGAUUGAUUUAAAAUUCUGAUUCGAAUGUUUAUCAAGUAUAAUUUGAGAAUUGGAAAGUGAUUGGAUGUUAGAUUUAGUUUGAUUUUGGAAAAUGAUUUGAGAUUUGUGAAUGACUUGGGUUUGAAAAUGUUGGAAAGUGUUUGAGAAGAUGUUAGUUGACUUUGUUGGAAAUGAAUUGGAAUUUGGAAAGGGUUAUAAUAUUGGAGAUGAGCUUGAUUUGUAGAAAAAUGAAUUUAAAUUGAAAAUGGUUUGAGAUAUUGAAAUUGUUCAGAUUUUGAAAUUGAGUUGAAAGGAGUUUGAGAAAUGGUUUUGUUGGGACCCGGAAAGGCUAGAUUGCUGAUGCAGAUGAGCAUUGUAGUGCUUUCCGGUUGUGUGCUUUGCCAAUGAUAAUUGGCGCUUCGAUGAGUGCAGCAAUAAACAACUUGUUUGGUAUGCUUGUAGGAUGGUUAUUUGUUGGGACUGUCCGUGAAUUUAGGGUUUUUUGAACUAACCUAGGGAUUAGCAUUUCUUGUUUCUUUUGAAAUUGGUAAUAGCAAGGUUUUA